UGCUCAGGAUGAACGCUAGCGGCAGGCUUAACACAUGCAAGUCGAGGGGUAUAGUUCUUCGGAAUUAGAGACCGGCGCACGGGUGCGUAACGCGUAUGCAAUCUGCCUUUCACAGAGGGAUAGCCCAGAGAAAUUUGGAUUAAUACCUCAUAGUAUUACAGGAGGGCAUCAUCCAGUAAUUAAAGUCACAACGGUGAAAGAUGAGCAUGCGUCCCAUUAGUUAGUUGGUAAGGUAACGGCUUACCAAGACUUCGAUGGGUAGGGGUCCUGAGAGGGAGAUCCCCCACACUGGUACUGAGACACGGACCAGACUCCUACGGGAGGCAGCAGUGAGGAAUAUUGGUCAAUGGGCGCAAGCCUGAACCAGCCAUGCCGCGUGCAGGAUGACGGUCCUAUGGAUUGUAAACUGCUUUUGUACGAGAAGAAACACUCCGACGUGUCGGAGCUUGACGGUAUCGUAAGAAUAAGGAUCGGCUAACUCCGUGCCAGCAGCCGCGGUAAUACGGAGGAUCCAAGCGUUAUCCGGAAUCAUUGGGUUUAAAGGGUCCGUAGGCGGUCUUGUAAGUCAGUGGUGAAAGCCCAUCGCUCAACGAUGGAACGGCCAUUGAUACUGCAGGACUUGAAUUAUUGGGAAGUAACUAGAAUAUGUAGUGUAGCGGUGAAAUGCUUAGAGAUUACAUGGAAUACCAAUUGCGAAGGCAGGUUACUACCCAAUUGAUUGACGCUGAUGGACGAAAGCGUGGGUAGCGAACAGGAUUAGAUACCCUGGUAGUCCACGCCGUAAACGAUGGAUACUAGCUGUUGGGCGCAAGUUCAGUGGCUAAGCGAAAGUGAUAAGUAUCCCACCUGGGGAGUACGUUCGCAAGAAUGAAACUCAAAGGAAUUGACGGGGGCCCGCACAAGCGGUGGAGCAUGUGGUUUAAUUCGAUGAUACGCGAGGAACCUUACCAAGGCUUAAAUGCAGACUGACCGAUUUGGAAACAGAUCUUUCGCAAGACAGUUUACAAGGUGCUGCAUGGUUGUCGUCAGCUCGUGCCGUGAGGUGUCAGGUUAAGUCCUAUAACGAGCGCAACCCCUGUUGUUAGUUGCCAGCGAGUCAUGUCGGGAACUCUAACAAGACUGCCAGUGCAAACUGUGAGGAAGGUGGGGAUGACGUCAAAUCAUCACGGCCCUUACGCCUUGGGCUACACACGUGCUACAAUGGCCGGUACAGAGAGCAGCCACCUCGCGAGAGGGAGCGAAUCUAUAAAGCCGGUCACAGUUCGGAUCGGAGUCUGCAACUCGACUCCGUGAAGCUGGAAUCGCUAGUAAUCGGAUAUCAGCCAUGAUCCGGUGAAUACGUUCCCGGGCCUUGUACACACCGCCCGUCAAGCCAUGGAAGCUGGGGGUGCCUGAAGUCGGUGACCGCAAGGAGCUGCCUAGGGUAAAACUGGUAACUAGGGCUAAUC
This 1448-nucleotide ribosomal RNA is filed under the name uncultured Flavobacterium sp. Its description in RNAcentral is "bacterial SSU rRNA". It matches the Rfam family "Bacterial small subunit ribosomal RNA". Lineage: Bacteria; Pseudomonadati; Bacteroidota; Flavobacteriia; Flavobacteriales; Flavobacteriaceae. The record is from RNAcentral.